CCUACGGGAGGCAGCAGUAGGGAAUCUUUCACAAUGGGCGAAAGCCUGAAGGAGCCACGUCGCGUGCAGGAUGAAGGCCCUCUGGUUUUAAACCGCUUUUAUUAGCGAGAUAUAUGAUGGUAACUUAUGAAUAAGGAUCGGCUAAAUACGUGCCAGCUGCCGCGGCUAAACGCAGGCUGCGAGCAUAAUCCGGAGUGUCUGGGGGUUAAGAGUUGCGUAUGUGGUGUAAUAAGUAGCUAGUGAAAUCUGAUGGCGACACCAUUCAAAUUAUUAGCUAAACUGGUAAGCUCGAGAACGUUAGGGGUAAGUGGAAUUUCUAGUGUAGGGGUGAAAUGCUUAGAUAUUAGGAGGAACACCGAUAGCGAAGGCAGGUUACUAGGACGGUUCUGACACUGAGGCACGAAAGCGUAGGGAGCAAACAGGAUUAGAUACCCCAGUAGUC
Molecule: ribosomal RNA, 442 nt
Filed under: uncultured bacterium
Lineage: Bacteria
Description: partial 16S ribosomal RNA
Rfam family: Bacterial small subunit ribosomal RNA
Source: RNAcentral